GCCCCGGUAGUACAGUGGUUAUCACAUGCUCCCGGAAAGGGUGAAAUGCGGGUACGACACCCGUCUGGGAUU
Parelaphostrongylus tenuis is the source of this 72-nucleotide non-coding RNA. The record is from the annotation of a GenBank genome assembly. Lineage: Eukaryota; Metazoa; Nematoda; Chromadorea; Rhabditida; Metastrongylidae.